CCUACGGGAGGCAGCAGUAAGGAAUAUUGGUCAAUGGACGAAAGUCUGAACCAGCCAUGCCGCGUGAAGGAUGAAGGUCCUCUGGAUUGUAAACUUCUUUUAUCUGGGACGAAAAAAGGGCUUUCUAGCUCACUUGACGGUACCAGAGGAAUAAGCACCGGCUAACUCCGUGCCAGCAGCCGCGGUAAUACGGAGGGUGCAAGCGUUAUCCGGAUUUACUGGGUUUAAAGGGAGCGUAGGUGGGCAGGUAAGUCAGUGGUGAAAUCUCUGGGCUUAACCCGGAAACUGCCAUUGAUACUAUCUGUCUUGAAUAUCCUGGAGGUAAGCGGAAUAUGUCAUGUAGCGGUGAAAUGCUUAGAUAUGACAUAGAACACCCAUUGCGAAGGCAGCUUACUACGGGAUUAUUGACACUGAGGCUCGAAAGCGUGGGGAUCAAACAGGAUUAGAUACCCUGGUAGUCCACGCCCUAAACGAUGGAUACUCGACAUCAGCGAUACACUGUUGGUGUCUGAGCGAAAGCAUUAAGUAUCCCACCUGGGAAGUACGACCGCAAGGUUGAAACGUCAAAUGAAUUGACGGCUGAGACGAGACGAGACGACGACGAGGGAGGAGG
Molecule: ribosomal RNA, 613 nt
Filed under: uncultured bacterium
Lineage: Bacteria
Description: bacterial SSU rRNA
Rfam family: Bacterial small subunit ribosomal RNA
Source: RNAcentral